Molecule: ribosomal RNA, 228 nt
Filed under: Triticum aestivum (bread wheat)
Lineage: Eukaryota; Viridiplantae; Streptophyta; Magnoliopsida; Poales; Poaceae
Description: partial small subunit ribosomal RNA
Source: RNAcentral
AUGUCGUUCAUGACAUACCUCACCAAGUUCCAAUUCGGUAUGUCAUCCAAAUUUUAUGAGAGCCACAAAAUAUGUUGGAAGAAUAACUACGGAUCAAAUGGACCUCGAACUUUAUCUCACCGUGAACACCACAUAAAUCACAUUCUAACAGGAGGCCUCAGCCAUCGCCAAGGCAUCUCAUGGAAACAUGGGGGAAACUCCAAAUCGAACAGAGCAACACAAAAAUAG